RNAcentral lists this ribosomal RNA (498 nucleotides) under uncultured Winogradskyella sp. RNAcentral's name for it is "bacterial SSU rRNA". It matches the Rfam family "Bacterial small subunit ribosomal RNA", at positions 547 to 1050 of the family's 1533-position model. Lineage: Bacteria; Pseudomonadati; Bacteroidota; Flavobacteriia; Flavobacteriales; Flavobacteriaceae. The record is from RNAcentral.
GGAAUUACUGGGCGUAAAGCGCGCGUAGGCGGUUUGUUAAGUGUGAUGUGAAAGCCCAGGGCUCAACCUUGGAACUGCAUCACAUACUGGCAGGCUAGAGUACGGUAGAGGGGGGUAGAAUUCCACGUGUAGCGGUGAAAUGCAUAGAUAUUACAUAGAAUACCAAUUGCGAAGGCAGAUCACUAACAAUGUAUUGACACUGAUGGACGAAAGCGUGGGGAGCGAACGGGAUUAGAUACCCCGGUAGUCCACGCCGUAAACGAUGGUCACUAGCUGUUCGGACUUCGGUCUGAGUGGCUAAGCGAAAGUGAUAAGUGACCCACCUGGGGAGUACGUUCGCAAGAAUGAAACUCAAAGGAAUUGACGGGGGCCCGCACAAGCGGUGGAGCAUGUGGUUUAAUUCGAUGAUACGCGAGGAACCUUACCAGGGCUUAAAUGUAGAUUGCAUUAGCUAGAGAUAGCUAUUUCUUCGGACUAUCUACAAGGUGCUGCAUGGUU